RNAcentral lists this ribosomal RNA (253 nucleotides) under uncultured bacterium. Its description in RNAcentral is "partial 16S ribosomal RNA". It matches the Rfam family "Bacterial small subunit ribosomal RNA", at positions 524 to 776 of the family's 1533-position model. The record is from RNAcentral.
UACGAAGGGGGCUAGCGUUGCUCGGAAUCACUGGGCGUAAAGCGCGCGUAGGCGGCUUUUUAAGUCAGAGGUGAAAUCCUGGAGCUCAACUCCAGAACUGCCUUUGAUACUGGAGAGCUUGAGUCCGGGAGAGGUGAGUGGAACUGCGAGUGUAGAGGUGAAAUUCGUAGAUAUUCGCAAGAACACCAGUGGCGAAGGCGGCUCACUGGCCCGGUACUGACGCUGAGGUGCGAAAGCGUGGGGAGCAAACAGG